AAUCAACGCUGGCGGCGUGCCUCAGACAUGCAAGUCGAACGAUUAAAGCUCUCUUCGGAGAGUGUAUAGAGUGGCGCACGGGUGAGUAACACGUAAGUAAUCUACCUUUGAGUGGGGAAUAACAGUCGGAAACGGCUGCUAAUACCGCAUAACGCAGCGGCACCGCAAGGUGACAGUUGUUAAAGGAGCAAUCCGCUUAAAGAGGAGCUUGCGGCAGAUUAGCUUGUUGGUAAGGUAACGGCUUACCAAGGCUACGAUCUGUAUCCGGUCUAAGAGGACGUCGGACACACUGACACUGAAUAACGGGUCAGACUCCUACGGGAGCAGCAGUCGGGAAUUUGGCAAUGGGCGAAAGCCUGACCAGCAACGCCGCGUGAAGGAUGAAGU
This 387-nucleotide ribosomal RNA is filed under the name uncultured bacterium. RNAcentral's name for it is "bacterial SSU rRNA". It matches the Rfam family "Bacterial small subunit ribosomal RNA", at positions 32 to 414 of the family's 1533-position model. The record is from RNAcentral.